UGCCACUUAACCCACCAAGGGUCAUGUAAAUCAAAUUUUAGUAUCGAAAAUGCAUAAUGAUUGCUAAGUGAACAACAAGCAGACUAAGGGGAGAAAAUGUCCAUCAUCAUAUUUAAGUUCUUUUCUUUUGGUACAUUCAUGUUUUAAGUAUUUUAAGAGCAUGUAUCUAACAGUUAAAAGGUAUAACUAUGAGCAACAACAUAGCAAUUAGUUAACAAUUCUACAAGUGGUGAAAAGUUGAGUUUUAAGACAGAUAUAUAGAAACUCAAACUGUUCUCUAACAUUUUAAUUAGUAGUACUUAUAUUAAGAGAAUAAGAGGUAAGAGAUAUUGCAACGACUUUAUAAUGAAUCCUUACUAUCAGUUCUGUUAAGAUGGGAUGGUCUGAGGAGUAAAAUAUUGAAAAGAAGAAAAACCAAUGAAGCACACAAUUUUAUGAAAAUUAGACCAGCCACUAAACAUAGAAGGAUUUUCAAAUUCUCAUACCAAUUUUCUAAAUAUCAAUGAAGGAGAUUAUUGAGUGACAGAUUGAGGAGAAAAGAAUGCAAACAAACAUUGUACAUGAAAAGGAAUCAAAUGACUACAAAAUCCCCUCAAUAUUCACGCACCGAUUCCAAUAUCCUUCAUUUGUUUUGUUAGGGAGAAAAACAGAUAUAUAUGGAUAUCCCAUUUUUACAAAAAACACCCCUUUGACACUCCUUAUUUGUCUCUCUUUUUGUCACAUCUUAUUACUUAUCUAUAUUAUUGAAUCACAUUUAAGGGAUUCCUUGAUUCGGACCGAAGAAGCAAUGUCACUCGAUCCUUAUCAAACUUAUUGUAAUCUUUUUCUGUACGUAAGGAUCCCACCAGAGCGUCUUCUACUUCUAAUAGACCAUGAACUAAUCAAAAUUAUUCUCAACAAGUUCAUAAAAUGUGAUUCCAUUUUUUUCAUCAGAUCCAGGUAGAGACCAAAGGUCUUGAGCGACGGAUCGGUAGAACAAUUCAAAAGAAAAAUGGAGAUAGAAGAGGUGAAACAAACCCCAACGUGGAGAGUAAUGGUGGCGUCGUCGCCGGAGGAAGAGCACCGCAGAGGCGUAACGGAGUUGAGGCGGCGAUGAAGUGGUCUAAUAA
Molecule: long non-coding RNA, 1109 nt
Organism: Glycine soja
Lineage: Eukaryota; Viridiplantae; Streptophyta; Magnoliopsida; Fabales; Fabaceae
Exons: 2
Source: RefSeq, a predicted model, not a curated record